GACUCUCGGCAACGGAUAUCUCGGCUCAUGCAUCGAUGAAGAACGUAGCGAAAUGCGAUACUUGGUGUGAAUUGCAGAAUCCCGUGAACCAUCGAGUCUUUGAACGCAAGUUGCGCCCGAAGCCAUUCGGCCGAGGGCACGCCUGCCUGGGCGUCACGC
RNAcentral lists this ribosomal RNA (159 nucleotides) under Goodenia discophora. Its description in RNAcentral is "Velleia discophora 5.8S ribosomal RNA". It matches the Rfam family "5.8S ribosomal RNA". Rfam says of the family: 5.8S ribosomal RNA (5.8S rRNA) is a component of the large subunit of the eukaryotic ribosome. It is transcribed by RNA polymerase I as part of the 45S precursor that also contains 18S and 28S rRNA. Lineage: Eukaryota; Viridiplantae; Streptophyta; Magnoliopsida; Asterales; Goodeniaceae. The record is from RNAcentral.